CGGAGCGAAGCGACGUCAAACCGAUAAAACAGCAGUGUAAAGUGAGCCGCAGGGCGCUUUGCGCGACAGCGCAAAGGCAGGCGGUUUCGCGUAGCGAAAGCGAAUGCUUUGGGGUGGGGUGACUGCGUACCUUUUGUAUAAUGGGUCAGCGACUUAUAUUCUGUAGCAAGGUUAACCGAAUAGGGGAGCCGUAGGGAAACCGAGUCUUAACCGGGCGUUAAGUUGCAGGGUAUAGACCCGAAACCCGGUGAUCUAGCCAUGGGCAGGUUGAAGGUUGGGUAACACUAACUGGAGGACCGAACCGACUAAUGUUGAAAAAUUAGCGGAUGACCUGUGGCUGGGGGUGAAAGGCCAAUCAAACCGGGAGAUAGCUGGUUCUCCCCGAAAGCUAUUUAGGUAGCGCCUCGUGAAUUCAUCUCCGGGGGUAGAGCACUGUUUCGGCUAGGGGGCCAUCCCGGCUUACCAACCCGAUGCAAACUGCGAAUACCGGAGAAUGUUAUCACGGGAGACACACGGCGGGUGCUAACGUCCGUCGUGAAGAGGGAAACAACCCAGACCGCCAGCUAAGGUCCCAAAGUCAUGGUUAAGUGGGAAACGAUGUGGGAAGGCCCAGACAGCCAGGAUGUUGGCUUAGAAGCAGCCAUCAUUUAAAGAAAGCGUAAUAGCUCACUGGUCGAGUCGGCCUGCGCGGAAGAUGUAACGGGGCUAAACCAU
RNAcentral lists this ribosomal RNA (714 nucleotides) under Salmonella enterica subsp. enterica. RNAcentral's name for it is "partial 23S ribosomal RNA". It matches the Rfam family "Bacterial large subunit ribosomal RNA", at positions 1 to 1190 of the family's 2925-position model. Lineage: Bacteria; Pseudomonadati; Pseudomonadota; Gammaproteobacteria; Enterobacterales; Enterobacteriaceae. The record is from RNAcentral.